AUUGAACGCUGGCGGCAGGCCUAACACAUGCAAGUCGAACGGUAACAGGAAGAAGCUUGCUUCUUUGCUGACGAGUGGCGGACGGGUGUGUAAUGUCUGGGAAACUGCCUGAUGGAGGGGGAUAACUACUGGAAACGGUAGCUAAUACCGCAUAACGUCGCAAGACCAAAGAGGGGGACCUUCGGGCCUCUUGCCAUCGGAUGUUCCCAGAUGGGAUUAGCUAGUAGGUGGGGUAACGGCUCACCUAGGCGACGAUCCCUAGCUGGUCUGAGAGGAUGACCAGCCACACUGGAACUGAGACACGGUCCAGACUCCUACGGGAGGCAGCAGUGGGGAAUAUUGCACAAUGGGCGCAAGCCUGAUGCAGCCAUGCCGCGUGUAUGAAGAAGGCCUUCGGGUUGUAAAGUACUUUCAGCGGGGAGGAAGGGAGUAAAGUUAAUACCUUUGCUCAUUGACGUUACCCGCAGAAGAAGCACCGGCUAACUCCGUG
Molecule: ribosomal RNA, 490 nt
Filed under: uncultured bacterium
Lineage: Bacteria
Description: partial 16S ribosomal RNA
Rfam family: Bacterial small subunit ribosomal RNA
Source: RNAcentral